UGGGGAAUAUUGCGCAAUGGGGGAAACCCUGACGCAGCAACGCCGCGUGAGUGAUGAAGGUCUUCGGAUCGUAAAGCUCUGUCGUUGGGAAAGAUGGUUCGCUUGGCUAAUAUCCAAGUGAGCUGACGGUACCCAAAAAGGAAGCACCGGCUAACUCUGUGCCAGCAGCCGCGGUAAUACAGAGGGUGCAAGCGUUGUUCGGAAUUAUUGGGCGUAAAGGGCGCGUAGGCGGCCACGUAAGUCGAAUGUGAAAGCCCAGGGCUCAACCUUGGAAGUGCAUCCGAAACUGUGUGGCUUGAAUCUCGGAGAGGGUGGUGGAAUUCCCAGUGUAGAGGUGAAAUUCGUAGAUAUUGGGAGGAACACCGGUGGCGAAGGCGACCGCCUGGACGAAGAUUGACGCUGAGGCGCGAGAGCGUGGGGAGCAAACAGGAUUAGAUACCCCCGUAGUCC
RNAcentral lists this ribosomal RNA (450 nucleotides) under uncultured bacterium. RNAcentral's name for it is "bacterial SSU rRNA". It matches the Rfam family "Bacterial small subunit ribosomal RNA", at positions 355 to 796 of the family's 1533-position model. The record is from RNAcentral.